GAUGAAGAACGUAGCGAAAUGCGAUAAGUAGUGUGAAUUGCAGAAUUCAGUGAAUCAUCGAAUCUUUGAACGCACAUUGCGCCCUUUGGUAUUCCUUAGGGCAUGCCUGUUCGAGCGUCAUUUCAACCCUCAAGCCCCCGGGUUUGGUGUUGGGGAUCGGCUCUGCCCUUCUGGGCGGUGCCGCCCCCGAAAUACAUUGGCGGUCUCGCUGCAGCCUCCAUUGCGUAGUAGCUAACACCUCGCAACUGGAACGCGGCGCGGCCAUGCCGUAAAACCCCAACUUCUGAAUGUUGACCUCGGAUCAGGUAGGAAUACCCGCUGAACUUAAGCAUAUCAAUAAGCGGAGGA
This 348-nucleotide unclassified non-coding RNA is filed under the name soil metagenome. Its description in RNAcentral is "partial contains 5.8S ribosomal RNA, internal transcribed spacer 2, and large subunit ribosomal RNA". The stretch from base 1 to 120 matches the Rfam family "5.8S ribosomal RNA", at positions 35 to 154 of the family's 154-position model. The record is from RNAcentral.